This 530-nucleotide ribosomal RNA is filed under the name Chalcides polylepis. RNAcentral's name for it is "partial 16S ribosomal RNA". It matches the Rfam family "Bacterial large subunit ribosomal RNA", at positions 1817 to 2593 of the family's 2925-position model. Lineage: Eukaryota; Metazoa; Chordata; Lepidosauria; Squamata; Scincidae. The record is from RNAcentral.
AGCCUUUAGCCAAACAAGUAUUAAAGGUCCCGCCUGCCCAGUGAUAUAUUUAACGGCCGCGGUAUUCUAACCGUGCAAAGGUAGCGUAAUCACUUGUCUUCUAAAUAAAGACUAGUAUGAACGGCUAAAUGAGGACAAACCUGUCUCUUAUAACCAAUCAGUGAAACUGAUCUCCCAGUCCAAAAGCUGGGAUAAUUGCAUAAGACGAGAAGACCCUGUGGAGCUUCAAACUAACCACUAAUAAACACAACAUACCAGGAGUUUAAUAGUGUACAGUUUUAAGUUGGGGCGACUUCGGAACAAAACAAAACUUCCAAGCACGGGACCACAAGUUCCAACCAAGGCCCACAAGCCAAAGCUUAUAAAACUGACCCAGUAACACUGAUCAACGAACCAAGUUACCCCAGGGAUAACAGCGCUAUCUUCUUCAAGAGUCCAUAUCGACAAGAAGGUUUACGACCUCGAUGUUGGAUCAGGACACCCAAAUGGUGCAGCCGCUAUUAAAGGUUCGUUUGUUCAACGAUUAAUAG